UACGAGGGGGGGCAAGCGUUGUUCGGAAUUAUUGGGCGUAAAGGGUGCGUAGGCGGUCUGACAAGUCUGAUGUGAAAUCUAUGGGGCUCAACCCAUAGUCUGCAUCGGAAACUGUCGGGCUGGAGUAUGGGAGAGGUGAGUGGAAUUUCCGGUGUAGCGGUGAAAAUGCGUAGAUAUCGGAAGGAACACCUGUGGCGAAAGCGGCUCACUGGACCAUUACUGACGCUGAUGCACGAAAAGCUAGGGGGAGCAAACAGG
RNAcentral lists this ribosomal RNA (258 nucleotides) under uncultured bacterium. Its description in RNAcentral is "partial 16S ribosomal RNA". It matches the Rfam family "Bacterial small subunit ribosomal RNA", at positions 524 to 776 of the family's 1533-position model. The record is from RNAcentral.